Molecule: ribosomal RNA, 253 nt
Filed under: uncultured bacterium
Lineage: Bacteria
Description: partial 16S ribosomal RNA
Rfam family: Bacterial small subunit ribosomal RNA
Source: RNAcentral
GACGUAGGGUGCGAGCGUUGUCCGGAUUUAUUGGGCGUAAAGAGCUCGUAGGCGGCUCGUCGCGUCGACCGUGAAAACCCGCGGCUUAACUGCGGGCUUGCGGUUGAUACGGGCGGGCUAGAGUUCGGUAGGGGAGACUGGAAUUCCUGGUGUAGCGGUGGAAUGCGCAGAUAUCAGGAGGAACACCAAUAGCGAAGGCAGCUCGCUGGGACGGUACUGACGCUAAGGCGCGAAAGCGUGGGGAGCGAACAGG